GAUGAACGCUGGCGGCGUGCCUAAUACAUGCAAGUCGAGCGAACAGACGAGGAGCUUGCUCCUUUGACGUUAGCGGCGGGCGGGUGAGUAACACGUAGGUAACCUACCUAUAAGACUGGGAUAACUUCGGGAAACCGGAGCUAGUACCGGAUAAUAUUUCGAACCGCAGGGUUCGAUAGUGAAAGAUGGCUUUGCUGUCACUUAUCGAUGGACCUGCGCCGUAUUAGCUGGUUGGUAAGGUACCGGCUUACCAAGGCAACGAUUCGUAGCCGACCUGAGAGGGUGAUCGGCCACACUGGAGCUGAGACGCGGUCCAGACUCCUACGGGAGGCAGCAGUAGGGAAUCUGCCGCAAUGGGCGAAAGCCUGACGGAGCAACGCCGCGUGAGUGAUGAAGGUCUUCGGAUCGUAAAACUCUGUUAUUAGGGAAGAACAAACGUGUAAGUAACUGUGCACGUCUUGACGGUACCUAAUCAGAAAGCCACGGCUAACUACGUG
This 497-nucleotide ribosomal RNA is filed under the name uncultured bacterium. RNAcentral describes it as "partial 16S ribosomal RNA". It matches the Rfam family "Bacterial small subunit ribosomal RNA", at positions 28 to 507 of the family's 1533-position model. The record is from RNAcentral.